AAUAAAGUGGCUGAGUUGUAAGCGGCAGAUUGUAAAUCUGUAGACGAAUGAGAUUCCUUUAUUA
Molecule: transfer RNA, 64 nt
Filed under: Eriocheir sinensis (Chinese mitten crab)
Lineage: Eukaryota; Metazoa; Arthropoda; Malacostraca; Decapoda; Varunidae
Also listed under: 2 other names
Description: tRNA-Tyr
Rfam family: tRNA
About the family: Transfer RNA (tRNA) molecules are approximately 80 nucleotides in length. Their secondary structure includes four short double-helical elements and three loops (D, anti-codon, and T loops). Further hydrogen bonds mediate the characteristic L-shaped molecular structure. tRNAs have two regions of fundamental functional importance: the anti-codon, which is responsible for specific mRNA codon recognition, and the 3' end, to which the tRNAs corresponding amino acid is attached (by aminoacyl-tRNA synthetases). tRNAs cope with the degeneracy of the genetic code in two manners: having more than one tRNA (with a specific anti-codon) for a particular amino acid; and 'wobble' base-pairing, i.e. permitting non-standard base-pairing at the 3rd anti-codon position.
Source: RNAcentral